GGAGAGGUGGCCGAGUGGCUGAAGGCAACGGUUUGCUAAACCGUCAUAGUGGGAAACUGCUAUCGAGAGUUCGAAUCUCUCCCUCUCCG
This 89-nucleotide transfer RNA is filed under the name Bacteroidota bacterium. Its description in RNAcentral is "tRNA-Ser". It matches the Rfam family "tRNA". Rfam says of the family: Transfer RNA (tRNA) molecules are approximately 80 nucleotides in length. Their secondary structure includes four short double-helical elements and three loops (D, anti-codon, and T loops). The record is from RNAcentral. Lineage: Bacteria; Pseudomonadati; Bacteroidota.